This 506-nucleotide ribosomal RNA is filed under the name uncultured bacterium. Its description in RNAcentral is "partial 16S ribosomal RNA". It matches the Rfam family "Bacterial small subunit ribosomal RNA", at positions 28 to 523 of the family's 1533-position model. The record is from RNAcentral.
GAUGAACGCUAGCUACAGGCUUAACACAUGCAAGUCGAGGGGUAACGAGAGGAAAGCUUGCUUUCCUUGUCGACGACCGGCGCACGGGUGAGUAACGCGUAUCCAACCUGCCCCCAACUAGGGAAUAACCUUGCGAAAGUAAGACUAAUACCCUAUAAUUUCCUCAGAUGACAUCUGACGAGGAAUAAAGAUUUAUCGGUUGUGGAUGGGGAUGCUUCUGAUUAGCUUGUGGGCGGGGUAACGGCCCACCAAGGCAACGAUCAGUAGGGGUUCGGAGAGGAAGGUACCCCACAUUGGAACUGAGACACGGUCCAAACUCCUACGGGAGGCAGCAGUGAGGAAUAUUGGUCAAUGGGCGGAAGCCUGAACCAGCCAAGUAGCGUGCAGGAUGACGGCCCUAUGGGUUGUAAACUGCUUUUAUACAGGAAUAAAGUUAGCCACGUGUGGUUAUUUGUAGGUACUGUAUGAAUAAGGACCGGCUAAUUCCGUGCCAGCCGCCGCCGUAA